This 497-nucleotide ribosomal RNA is filed under the name uncultured bacterium. RNAcentral's name for it is "partial 16S ribosomal RNA". It matches the Rfam family "Bacterial small subunit ribosomal RNA", at positions 28 to 507 of the family's 1533-position model. The record is from RNAcentral.
GAUGAACGCUGGCGGCGUGCCUAAUACAUGCAAGUCGAGCGAACAGAUGAGGAUCUUGCUCCUCUGACGUUAGCGGCGGACGGGUGAGUAACACGUGGAUAACCUACCUAUAAGACUGGGAUAACUUCGGGAAACCGGAGCUAAUACCGGAUAAUAUAUUGAACCGCAUGGUUCAAUAGUGAAAGACGGUUUUGCUGUCACUUAUAGAUGUAUCCGCGCCGCAUUAGCUAGUUGGUAAGGUAACGGCUUACCAAGGCGACGAUGCGUAGCCGACCUGAGAGGGUGAUCGGCCACACUGGAACUGAGACACGGUCCAGACUCCUACGGGAGGCAGCAGUAGGGAAUCUUCCGCAAUGGGCGAAAGCCUGACGGAGCAACGCCGCGUGAGUGAUGAAGGUCUUCGGAUCGUAAAACUCUGUUAUUAGGGAAGAACAAAUGUGUAAGUAACUAUGCACGUCUUGACGGUACCUAAUCAGAAAGCCACGGCUAACUACGUG